This 68-nucleotide transfer RNA is filed under the name Bufo bufo (common toad). RNAcentral's name for it is "tRNA-Phe". It matches the Rfam family "tRNA". Rfam says of the family: Transfer RNA (tRNA) molecules are approximately 80 nucleotides in length. Lineage: Eukaryota; Metazoa; Chordata; Amphibia; Anura; Bufonidae. The record is from RNAcentral.
GUUUGAAUAGCUUAAACAAAGCGCAGCACUGAAAAUGCUGAGAUGGGCCCUAAAAAGCCCUUUAAACA